Long non-coding RNA from Chinchilla lanigera (long-tailed chinchilla), 1126 nucleotides. RefSeq lists it as uncharacterized. NCBI's taxonomy places the organism in Eukaryota, Metazoa, Chordata, Mammalia, Rodentia, Chinchillidae. The transcript has 4 exons. The record is from RefSeq and is a predicted model, not a curated record.
GGGCUCUCAGCGGGGCCGAGAUCGGUGGGCAAGGGACACAGGACCAGACCCGGCAGGGAGAGGAGUCGAGGGCGGGGGGUCAGCUGUGGGCUGGGUCCGCAGAGACCGAAGGCCUGGGCCCCGGCCGAGUCUGUCCCGAGGGGGUCCGGCGCCCAGCGGGACACAGAGAGGACAGGGGGGUUAAGUCUGGAGCCUGAAGGGAGGAGGCCGCGGAGGACCGAAGGGCCGCGUGACUGGGCUGUGCCGCUGAGACUCGGCCAACCUGGCCGGGAUGGAGGGGGCGUCUGCCGAGGUCGGUGCAGGGUGAGGAAGGGACUGAGGUGGGAUUGCCUCCUGGCUUCCUGUACCUCCCAAGGGGAGUGGAGGACAUAGCGCUGGGCCCACGCAGGUCCAGGGCUGGGCCCUCCUGUUGUGGGACGUCAGUUUAUUACCAUCCCCGAAGCCGUGGGGAAGCUGCUGAGGAGUCUACCCAGUUGUGGAACCUUGGCUCUCACUCUGCCUUCUCCACAAAGCCAUCCUCAUUGCUGGAGCGCUGCACAACACCUGUUGUCCUCAUGGUCUGGCCUGGCAAGGAUGGGGAUGAGUGGUUAGUCAGGAACAGGUCUGUACACAGGCCUGCUGUGUGUGGCUGCAUAGGUUUGUACCAUCCCUCCCUGGCAGUAGGGCACACUGUUCAUAUAGACUAUGGUGGGAUGGGGUCCCCCUGAAUUAUAUAAUGAAGAGGCUAUGCGUCCUGGUCAAAUGGCCUGAGAUUGAAUCCUGACUCAACCACUCAAUGGAUGGCCAAGCAAGUGGAAGAAGCAUUUGUGGCUGGAAUCUCUAGAAAGCCCAGUGGUGGCUUCAAACAUGACUGACCCAGACCCCCAACUCCACCAUGAGGACACGAUGCCUGCCAUGUCCUGUCUGCAUCUCUGAGCCGGUUUAAUUCUCAGACCCAGUCAAAUUGCUGGACAUGCUGGAAGGAACAGCACACCUGUGCAUUGCUCAAGUGGACUGUAAGCUACUGGAGAGCAGGACUUGUAUCUUUACCACCCGACUCCUCAGGAUCCAGCAGAGUGGCUGGCACACACAGCUCAGAGGAUAUGUACGCAGCAAAUAAACAUAAUCAAAGUCGUACAGCACAUAA